Molecule: unclassified non-coding RNA, 744 nt
Filed under: Hevea brasiliensis (rubber tree)
Lineage: Eukaryota; Viridiplantae; Streptophyta; Magnoliopsida; Malpighiales; Euphorbiaceae
Source: RNAcentral
CAACAAUUUAGGAAAGAUUGUAUACCAAAUUAAGUUUUGGUACAAAUGUUAUAAAUGAUGCAAAUAUUUGGGAUGAGGGUGUAGUUUUACUAAAAUAUUUUCCAAAUUUAUAAUUCUGAGUAAACCUAGGACUUAAAUAUAAUAAAUUAAGUUUUAAAUGUUAUUACUUGGGUAUCAGUAGUCACUCGCUUCCUCUUGCACGCGCUGAGCGCCAUGGCUGCCGCCGACACUUCAGCCGUGCGCCCUCUGGUCACUGUGCAGUCUCUUCCAUCUCUAAAUGAGAUGGCCACAGACUCCUCCACCACUCUGGCUCCUCCUGACGUGAUGAAGGCCUCGAUCGGACCUGACAUCGUUAACUUUGUCCACGCCAACAUCUCCAAGAACAGCCGCCAGCCCUUCGCUGUGUCCAAGCUCGCUGGCCACCAGACCUCUGCCGAGUCCUGGGGCACUGGCCGUGCCGUAUCCCGUAUCCCCCGUGUCCCCGGUGGUGGUACUUACCGCGCUGGCCAGGGCGCUUUUGGUAACAUGUGUCGUGGUGGGCGAAUGUUUGCUCCUACGAAGAUCUGGCGGCGCUGGCACCGUAAGAUCAAUGUGAAUCAGAAGAGAUACGCCGUCGUAUCUGCUAUUGCUGCCUCUGCUAUCUCUUCUCUGGUGAUGGCUCGCGGGCAUAAGGUAGAAUCUGUCCCUGAAAUGCCAAUGGUCAUCAGCGAUUCUGCAGAGAGCGUUGAGAAAACUUCAGCUGCG